AACUUAACCGCUACCGCCCGCAAC
RNAcentral lists this non-coding RNA (24 nucleotides) under Arabidopsis thaliana (thale cress). Lineage: Eukaryota; Viridiplantae; Streptophyta; Magnoliopsida; Brassicales; Brassicaceae. The record is from RNAcentral.